RNAcentral lists this ribosomal RNA (256 nucleotides) under uncultured bacterium. RNAcentral describes it as "partial 16S ribosomal RNA". It matches the Rfam family "Bacterial small subunit ribosomal RNA", at positions 524 to 776 of the family's 1533-position model. The record is from RNAcentral.
UACGGAGGAUCCAAGCGUUAUCCGGAUUUAUUGGGUUUAAAGGGUGCGUAGGCGGCGCGGAAAGUCAGGGGUGAAAUCCCGGAGCUCAACUCCGGAACUGCCUUUGAUACUCCCGCGCUUGAGAACUGGAGGGGAGACCGGAAGUUCCUGGAUGUAGCGGUGAAGUGACGCAGAUAUCAGGAGGAACACCGAUGGCGAAGGCAGGUCUCUGGGCCACUACUGACGCUGAGAAGCGAAAGCAUGGGGAGCGAACAGG